RNAcentral lists this ribosomal RNA (259 nucleotides) under uncultured bacterium. Its description in RNAcentral is "partial 16S ribosomal RNA". It matches the Rfam family "Bacterial small subunit ribosomal RNA", at positions 57 to 305 of the family's 1533-position model. The record is from RNAcentral.
GCAAGUCGAACGAUCUGCUGUAAUGUAGAUAGUGGCAAACGGGUGAGUAACACGUGGGUAAUUUACCUUCAAACCCGGGAUAACUUCGCGAAAGCGAGGCUAAUACCGGAUAAGACCACGAUCCCGCAUGGGAUUGAGGUUAAAGUCGGGGACUCCAACAGAGCCUGACAAUAGAAGAUAAGCCCGCGUCCUAUCAGCUUGUUGGUGAGGUAAUGGCUCACCAAGGCAUUUGACGGGUAGCUGGUCUGAGAGGAUGGUC